GACGAACGCUGGCGGCGUGCUUAACACAUGCAAGUCGAACGGAAAGGCCCUGCUUUUGUUGGGUGCUCGAGUGGCGAACGGGUGAGUAACACGUGAGUAACCUGCCCUUGACUUUGGGAUAACUUCAGGAAACUGGGGCUAAUACCGGAUAGGAGCUCCUGCUGCAUGGUGGGGGUUGGAAAGUUUCGGCGGUUGGGGAUGGACUCGCGGCUUAUCAGCUUGUUGGUGGGGUAGUGGCUUACCAAGGCUUUGACGGGUAGCCGGCCUGAGAGGGUGACCGGCCACAUUGGGACUGAGAUACGGCCCAGACUCCUACGGGAGGCAGCAGUGGGGAAUAUUGCACAAUGGGCGGAAGCCUGAUGCAGCAACGCCGCGUGCGGGAUGACGGCCUUCGGGUUGUAAACCGCUGUCGCAUGUGACGAAGCGUGAGUGACGGUAAUGGGUAAAGAAGCACCGGCUAACUACGUG
RNAcentral lists this ribosomal RNA (468 nucleotides) under uncultured bacterium. RNAcentral describes it as "partial 16S ribosomal RNA". It matches the Rfam family "Bacterial small subunit ribosomal RNA", at positions 28 to 507 of the family's 1533-position model. The record is from RNAcentral.